Molecule: long non-coding RNA, 3843 nt
Organism: Pan troglodytes (chimpanzee)
Lineage: Eukaryota; Metazoa; Chordata; Mammalia; Primates; Hominidae
Exons: 3
Source: RefSeq, a predicted model, not a curated record
CAGUAGUUUCGGAUGCCCGGGCUAGGCUCGGCGGAGAGCGAGUCGGCGUGAAUGAGAGCAAACCAACAGGGCUGUGCGUGGCGCGUAAAGAAGUGUUGAAGAAGAGAGAGACAGAAGAAAAUCACCAUAAAAAGUCAGACACGAGAGCUUAGAAGUCAAUUAAGACAGGGCUUGGAAGUGGCAUUAGGAAUUCUGUGCUCAAGAAUUUUUGCAUCCAUCAAAUCCUAGAAAUUAGAGUCUGCACAUUACUACCAGGUACCAUUUUUACCUUAUACCCUAAUUAAAGAUUUUAGCCAAACUUCUAAAUAAUGAGAUUUAAAAUAUUCAUAAGGAAUUAAUAAUCUAGCAUUUGUUCUUCACAAAGUACUUACUCAGUGAACAAAGAAUUUUAAAUUUACCGAAAAAACAAAAGACUUCAUAUAUUUGAGGAUUCUCAGUAUGUCCUUCAGGUGGGAGCUAAUCAUAAUUCCAAAACAAACAAACACAAAUGCCAUAGUCCCAAGUGCUGAAAUUCCAAAAGAUCAAAAUACUGAAAAUAUAAUUCUAAAAAAAUUUUAAAAAUUUUAUUUACACUUUUAAAAGGGGAUUUAUUUGAGAAACAUAAAAACACAACAAAACACUUCCUAGGCCAUUUUACAUAAGAAAAUAGGCAAUAAUAACAUGCAUAUUUUUGCAAGCAUUAACACUUUGGCAUACUAAUGACAGUUGCAUGGGUAUAACAGUUAUAAGCAGUCAAGUUGUAUUCAUAUAAAUAGGUCAAAAGUGAAAUAUAUACUAUGGUUGGUAAUUACGUGUGUCCAGCUUUAUAACUUUGGUCAUAUGAAACAUAAUGACAGACAACAUAAAUCUUGUCUUGGCGAGACUGAUGGAAAACCAUGAUGAGUUACUGUCACAAAUGUAAUCACCCAAAGAGUCAAGAUCUCAAGAAAUUGUAUCUUUCACAAAUGCAGAUCUACAAAAAGGACAUUUCUUCAUUUAGUGAGGAAAUUUCAACAUUUCUAUAUAAAUGUGCAGUGCUUAUACAUAAAGUCAACAUUGUGAUAAUGCACUUUAAUGGAAUCAAAUUUGCAGCAUAAAACAAAUUAGAACUCUCUAAAAGUCUCCACACAAUUUAGAUCUCUAAUAUGGGAUAUGAUGUGAAGAUGAAAUACAUAGCAUAACAAAUUGGCGCUAUGUGUGAAGAGGUAGAAGUUAUAUGUGAUUGGAUAAUUUGGCUUGGAGGACUUCUUGUAUUUUUCAUCUGUGUUUUUACUUCUGUGAUCUGUAUUUGGGCAGUGGUUGUGGUCUACAAAUUUUGUAAGUAUAUGCAGUCCAUCUGAAAGUCUGAUUAUUGCUUGGCCUUUGCAAUUAAGGGAUUUUCAGCUUUUGCAGCACCAAUAAUAAUUAGCUUUUAAACUUUUAUCUUUCACUAUUAAGAAGCCUCAUACACUUAACUUAUCACAGCCUUUUUGUGAGGGAACAAUUUCACAGAUCUCUUCCACUGUGUUGUAAGGAAUACAGUAGCAGGAAUGAUACUUGGCUUCCUCAACGCCAAGUGUGUAUUAGUAACGGAUCUUCAGAGAGACUCAAUCAAUAGGAUAUGUAUAUAGAUACAUGAGAGGGGAUUUUUAGAAGAAUUGGCUAACAUCUUUAUGGUGGCUGAGAAGUCAUAGCGCAGGUCGUCUACAAGUUGGAGACCCUAAGAUGCAGGUAGUGUGGCUCAGUCUAUGUCUAGUAACCUCAGAACCCAGGAAGCUGGUGUAAGUUUCAAUCUGAGGUCAAAAGCUUCAGGACCCAAGAAACAGCUGGUGGAGGUCCUGGAGUCCAAAAGUCAGCAAACCUAGAAUUCUGAUGUCUAAGGCGGCAGAAUAAAAGUCUUUUCAGUUUGGGAGGCUGAGGUGGGUGGAUCACCUGAGGUCAGAAGUUUGAGACCAGCCUAGCCAACAUGGCGAAACCCCAUCUCUACUAAAAAUACAAAAAUUAGCCAGGUGUGGGGACACGUGCCUGUAGUCCCAGCUACUUGGGAGGCUGAGGCAGGAGAAUCACUUGAACCUGGGAGGCAGAGGUUGCAGUGAGCUGAGAUCACGCCACUGCACUCCAGCCUGUGGGUGACACAGUUGGACUCUGUCUCAAAAAUAAUAAUAAUAAUACUAGUAAAAAGUAUUUUCAGUUAUCAGAGAGAGACCAAUUUACCCUCAGCAUUUGUUCUCUCCAGGUCCCUGUCUGAUUGAAUAAUGCCUACCAACUUUGAGGGCAGGUCUUCCCUGCCUAGUCCACUCAGAUUCACACCCUAAUCUCUUCUGGAAAUACCUUCACAGACACAUGCAAAAUAAUGCUUUACCAGGUUUCUAGGCAUUCUUUAAUCCAGUCAAUUUGACACCUAAAAUUAAGUCCACAGGUUGGCGCACUGUCAAUUUAGCACUGACAUGUAACCCCUUAAACCAAGCUUGUCCAACCUAUGGCCCAUGGGCCACAUGAGGCCCAGGAUGGCUUUGAAUGUAGCCCAAUGCAAAUUGAUAAGCUUUCUUAAAACAUUAUGAGAAUUUUUGUGAUUUUUAAAAAAAUCUCAUCAGCUGUCGUUAGUGUUAGUGUAUUUUAUAUGUGGCCCAAGGCAAUUCUUCUUCUUUUAAUGUGGCCCAGGGAAGCCAAAAGAUUGGACACCCUUGCCUUAAACCAUACUUAAUUUCCAAAUAAAGACAAUAACAAGUUAAUAGCUCUACCUAACAUAAUGCAACUAUUCUGUGACUGUGAAUUUCAAGAUUUUAGACAUUGGGGAUUUUAGACUUUAGAAAUUUUGAUCUUUUGAGAUUUCAACAUUUGGGAUUAUGGCAUUUAGGAUUGUGUCUUUUGGGAUUAUAAUCCAAACCCCCUUUGGGCAAACUCGUUUAACACACAUUCUCAUAAGUCUGUAUAUAUUUAAAUAAGGUUGUGACAUGAGUAUACAACUUUUCGUUGAAUAAAGAUACAAACUGAUUCCCUUAUAUCAGCAAGUCAUAUAGAUUCUCUUUGUCAGAAGAUAUUUACAAUUUUAAUUUUUUGCUUUAUAAAUUCUAGUAAGAGCUUCUAGCCUUUCUUGGCUGUGAGUUAAAAAACUGACCUCAUAAUUCCUUCCUUCCUUCUUUUCAUUCUUCCAUAUGUCUUUUUUCUUUAUUUUGCUCUUCUGCCCCCCACCAUCUUCAGUCCACUCAAUAGCCAGCUCCUACUCUAAAAACAGCAAAUGGAAUUACAAUAAACUAAUAUACUUAACUUGUCCUGCAGAGUCCACUGCAUCUUUUGGUUCAUCAUUAUUUUGUGCGUAGAGAUUUUUGUUUUUUCACUGAAUAUAAUUGCGUUGACUUCCUACCAAGUGGUUUAAUUCUCAAUUCUUUCUCACACAUCUCUUUCUUACACAUUUAGAAGUUGAGCCCACACCCAUUCUCUAAUCAUCACAGCUGACGUUCAUUUGCUGUUCUCUCGUUAUUUCAAUCAUUUGCUGCUUGGGUUUUAGAGUCUGUUCUUUUUUUUUUUUUUUUUUUUGCUUGACCAAAAGAGACUAGAAGGCUGUGAGUUGUGGCUCUUCUUACGAAUUGCAUGUGCUUAGUUUACUGUUUGUAUUAACAUCUCACCUGGGAGGCAGAGACACAUGAAAACAAGAUUCAGAGCUCUAAGGACAUUACUGGUGAUGCAAGCUGAUACAGACAGGAAAAUCAACAGAGCCCAGCAACAUCAAAGCAGCACUUGCUCUUUGGUCAUUUAGGAAUUGAAUCAAGAAUACCUAAUGUUAAAUGACGAGUUAAUGGGUGCAGCACACCAACAUGGCACAUGUAUACAUAUGUAACAAACAUGCACAUUGUGCACAUGUACCCUAAAACUUAAAGUAUAAUU